UGCUUUUGAGGACGGACCGGGCAGCCGUUGCCCCUCGCAAGAGGUUAGGAGAUGUGGGAGUGUCGCCCCGCCAAAAACA
Molecule: non-coding RNA, 79 nt
Submitted as: unclassified sequences
Source: Rfam